Molecule: long non-coding RNA, 251 nt
Organism: Thrips palmi
Lineage: Eukaryota; Metazoa; Arthropoda; Insecta; Thysanoptera; Thripidae
Exons: 2
Source: RefSeq, a predicted model, not a curated record
GCGGUCUCCGCCCCCGCAGCACAGGCCUACCCCGGCGACGCCCACAGCCUGGCCUACCGGGCCCACCGGGGGCAAUAGCAGAUUACAUCACCUAGGACCAAGUCAGCACGGUGAUACUGUGCCAAAACCUACCAAAAACUAUUUAUUUCCUCUCUAUUUGUUUUAAAAAAUAAUUUAUUGUUGUUGUACGUGAUACUCCUGUUUGAAUUGUAAUAUAGAAAAUUUAUUUACAAUAAAAUAAUUAAAACCUA